CUCAAUGCAUACGCGGAAGAGAUCAUUGCUGGACGCGCCCCGGCGCACCCAGAAACCCUUUGUGAACUUAUACCCACUGUUGCCUCGGCGCAGGCCGGUCUGUCUCAGACCCCCUGGAGACAGGGAGCAGCCCGCCGGCGGCCAACCAAACUCUGUUUCUAUAGUGAAUCUCUGAGUAAAAAACAUAAAUGAAUCAAAACUUUCAACAACGGAUCUCUUGGUUCUGGCAUCGAUGAAGAACGCAGCGAAAUGCGAUAAGUAAUGUGAAUUGCAGAAUUCAGUGAAUCAUCGAAUCUUUGAACGCACAUUGCGCCCUCUGGUAUUCCGGAGGGCAUGCCUGUUCGAGCGUCAUUUCAACCCUCAAGCCUGGCUUGGUGAUGGGGCAGUGCCUUGGAGACAAGGCACGCCCUGAAAUUCAGUGGCGAGCUCGCCAGGACCCCGAGCGUAGUAGUUACAUCUCGCUCUGGAAGGCCCUGGCGGUGCCCUGCCGUUAAGCCCCCAACUUGUGAAAAUUUGACCUCGGAUCAGGUAGGAAUACCCGCUGAACUUAAUCAUAUCAAUAUGCGGAGACA
This 572-nucleotide ribosomal RNA is filed under the name Phomopsis sp. HJ08. RNAcentral's name for it is "eukaryotic LSU rRNA". The stretch from base 198 to 351 matches the Rfam family "5.8S ribosomal RNA". Lineage: Eukaryota; Fungi; Ascomycota; Sordariomycetes; Diaporthales; Diaporthaceae. The record is from RNAcentral.